Molecule: transfer RNA, 91 nt
Filed under: Xylella fastidiosa
Lineage: Bacteria; Pseudomonadati; Pseudomonadota; Gammaproteobacteria; Lysobacterales; Lysobacteraceae
Also listed under: 6 other names
Description: tRNA-Lys
Rfam family: tRNA
About the family: Transfer RNA (tRNA) molecules are approximately 80 nucleotides in length. Their secondary structure includes four short double-helical elements and three loops (D, anti-codon, and T loops).
Source: RNAcentral
AGGCGGUUACGGAGUUUCUUCCAUAGUGUUGCUAACGUCCAGCGGACUUUUAAUCCGCUGGUCGCUGGUUCGAUUCCAGCACGGCCCACCA